CCUACGGGGGGCAGCAGUGGGGAAUAUUGGACAAUGGGCGAAAGCCUGAUCCAGCCAUGCCGCGUGAGUGAUGAAGGCCUUAGGGUUGUAAAGCUCUUUUGUGAGGGAAGACGUACCUCAAGAAUAAGCACCGGCUAACUUCGUGCCAGCAGCCGCGGUAAUACGAAGGGUGCUAGCGUUGUUCGGAAUUACUGGGCGUAAAGCGUGCGCAGGCGGCUUAACAAGUCAGAGGUGAAAUGCCAGGGCUCAACCCUGGAACUGCCUUUGAAACUGUUAGGCUAGAGACUCGGAGGGGUUAGGGGAAUUCCUAAUGUAGCAGUGAAAUGCGUAGAUAUUAGGAGGAACACCAGUGGCGAAGGCGCCUAACUGGACGAGACUGACGCUCAUGCACGAAAGCGUGGGGAUCAAACAGGAUUAGAUACCCUUGUAGUC
This 432-nucleotide ribosomal RNA is filed under the name uncultured bacterium. RNAcentral's name for it is "partial 16S ribosomal RNA". It matches the Rfam family "Bacterial small subunit ribosomal RNA", at positions 338 to 795 of the family's 1533-position model. The record is from RNAcentral.